This 1268-nucleotide long non-coding RNA is filed under the name Anas platyrhynchos platyrhynchos (common mallard). RNAcentral describes it as "lncRNA (ENSAPLG00000029783.1)". Lineage: Eukaryota; Metazoa; Chordata; Aves; Anseriformes; Anatidae. The record is from RNAcentral.
CGACCUUAUCGCUCUCUACAGAUACCUUAAAGGAGGCUGUAGUGAGGUGGGGGUUGGUCUGUUCUCCCACGUGCCUGGUGACAGGACGAGGGGGAAUGGGCUGAAGUUGCGCCAGGGGAGUUUUAGGUUAGAUGUUAGGAAGAACUUCUUUACCGAAAGGGUUGUUAGGCACUGGAACGGGCUGCCCAGGGAGGUGGUGGAGUCACCAUCCCUGGAAGUCUUCAAAAGAUGUUUAGAUGUAGAGCUUAGGGAUAUGGUUUAGUGGGGACUGUUAGUGUUAGGUUAGAUUUUGGACUCGAUGAUCUUGAGGUCUCUUCCAACCUAGAAAUUCUGUGAUUCUGCAAUUCUGUGAUUCUGUGAAAUCCAUGCUAAAUAUUUCACGCUUUCAUGCACAAAGCCAAAUUCAUAAAUAGAGUUGGAAAUGGAAAACUGGAGCCCACAAAUGGGGUUCACAAACAUGAAGCAAACAGGUGCCUGAAGUCUGACUGCCGCACGUCAGCUGCUUCAGGUCUCAGCAUGCAGGGAGGAACCUGGGGCAGCCCCUGGCCCCAGUGGCCCUCAUUUCUGCACUGCUCCUGCAGGAUCAAGGAGAGGUUAUCCAGGACUGACUGGAAAUGGGCAGGAGCCCCCCAGGGCUGGGGACAGGGUCUAGACAAUGUUGUCCAUGAGAAACAGCUGGGCGUUCAUCCCCAGCCAGAACCAGGGGCGGAUGCUCUCGCCAUUGAAGGAGGCUGCUGUGAAAGUGAAGAUCUCGACGCCAUUGUUAGCAUUGAUAAAAGACACCUGCUGCUGGGUGCAGUCCAGACAGACCCAGACCUUCGUGGGGACAGGGGACAGGCGCAAGCGGGUGCGAGGCAAUGUGAGAGACAUGAGGUGCCCCUCACAGUAUUGCACAGCCCAGAUCCCUUCUUCAGGGCUCAUUGUGAUCUCCCCUUUCCUCUUCAGAGAUGCUCUGGCCACCCCCACAGCCCACGAACAAUACCUUCCCCUCUUCUCCCCCCUCACCACCCUCCAGCAGUGCCUCCCCUCUCUGAACUCCUCACGGCCCAGCACGCAGCACCAAAUGUCAAAUCUCUCCUCAGUGGAGGGAAACCUCUGCCAUCUGGCUGCACGUACAGACUGGGCGAUGAGACGCUGGAGAGCAGCCUAGAAGAGAGGGAUCUGGGGGUCGUGGUAGACAGCAAGUUCAAUAUGAGCCAGCAGUGUGCCCUGGCAGCCAGGAGGGCCAACCGUAUCCUGGAGUGCAUCAAGCACGGCAUCGCUAGUAG